GACGUAGGAGGCGAGCGUUGUCCGGAAUUAUUGGGCGUAAAGAGCUUGUAGGCGGUUUGUCGCGUCUGCUGUGAAAUUUCGGGGCUCAACCCCGAACUUGCAGUGGGUACGGGCAGACUAGAGUGUGGUAGGGGAGACUGGAAUUCCUGGUGUAGCGGUGAAAUGCGCAGAUAUCAGGAGGAACACCGAUGGCGAAGGCAGGUCUCUGGGCCAUAACUGACGCUGAGAAGCGAAAGCAUGGGGAGCGAACAGG
This 253-nucleotide ribosomal RNA is filed under the name uncultured bacterium. Its description in RNAcentral is "partial 16S ribosomal RNA". It matches the Rfam family "Bacterial small subunit ribosomal RNA", at positions 524 to 776 of the family's 1533-position model. The record is from RNAcentral.